GGUUCCUUAGCUCAGUUGGGAGAGCGUCUGUCUUACAUACAGAUGGUCGCACGUUCGAGUCGUGCAGGAAUCACCA
This 76-nucleotide transfer RNA is filed under the name Lentisphaeria bacterium. RNAcentral describes it as "tRNA-Val". It matches the Rfam family "tRNA". Rfam says of the family: Transfer RNA (tRNA) molecules are approximately 80 nucleotides in length. Their secondary structure includes four short double-helical elements and three loops (D, anti-codon, and T loops). The record is from RNAcentral. RNAcentral also lists the same sequence under 1 other name. Lineage: Bacteria; Pseudomonadati; Lentisphaerota; Lentisphaeria.